GGGGAUUUAGCUCAGUGGUAGAGCACUUGCCUAGCAAGUGAAAGGCCCUGGGUUCGGUCCCCAGCUCUG
RNAcentral lists this transfer RNA (69 nucleotides) under Rattus norvegicus (Norway rat). It matches the Rfam family "tRNA". From Rfam's summary of the family: Transfer RNA (tRNA) molecules are approximately 80 nucleotides in length. Their secondary structure includes four short double-helical elements and three loops (D, anti-codon, and T loops). The record is from Rfam by way of RNAcentral. Lineage: Eukaryota; Metazoa; Chordata; Mammalia; Rodentia; Muridae.